This 74-nucleotide transfer RNA is filed under the name Caldithrix abyssi. RNAcentral's name for it is "tRNA-Pro". It matches the Rfam family "tRNA". Rfam says of the family: Transfer RNA (tRNA) molecules are approximately 80 nucleotides in length. Their secondary structure includes four short double-helical elements and three loops (D, anti-codon, and T loops). Lineage: Bacteria; Pseudomonadati; Calditrichota; Calditrichia; Calditrichales; Calditrichaceae. The record is from RNAcentral. RNAcentral also lists the same sequence under 3 other names.
CGGGGUGUGGCGUAGCCUGGUAGCGCGCACCGUUCGGGACGGUGAGGUCGGAGGUUCAAAUCCUCUCACCCCGA